RNAcentral lists this ribosomal RNA (236 nucleotides) under Paraglomus laccatum. The record is from RNAcentral. Lineage: Eukaryota; Fungi; Glomeromycota; Glomeromycetes; Paraglomerales; Paraglomeraceae.
CAGUCGUGCCGGCGUUGGAUUCAGCUUGCUUCGCGGAGCAGGCGUAUUUCCAUGCAUGGCAGGUCAGCGUCAGUUUUGCGCGGCGUGAAAAGGCUCGGAUAAGGUAGCUCUCUUCGGGGAGUGUUAUAGACCUGGGCAGAUGCGCUGCGCGGGACUGAGGAUUGCAGCGGACCCCCCGUCGGGGCGCGGCGACCGACCUGCCUCGGCCACCUCGUCGAUAGCGUGCUAGCGGACGC